CUGAUUUUAGGGUUCUUGAGCUAUGGAGCGACGAUGCUUCACAGGCGCUGGACUUCUUCCGGAUUUUGGACACGCAAUGGCUCCUGGCACUGAGGAAUUUGUCAAUGGAGGAUCUUCUUCUCCUUCCAUCGCAUAUGAGAGUCCCUUCGGUCCUUUGUUUCUCGUGCAUUGACGGCGGGGAUGGAAGGCCUUAGGAUUGCUGGCCCAAGACGCUCCAGGAUUUGCUCUCUCGAGAGGUGAAGGAGACCUCAAAGGAAGUGUUUUAACGCAUGGCGUGAACGCCAGGAAACCAUGAGAUUCUUUCCAGAUUGAAGGACUUUCUUCGUUGGUGGUAAACGCGUCGAACGAUACUAGCCAUUCUUGUCAACCGUUUCAAAGCAUCGUGCCACACAAAACCGCAACCUUUCUCGGCGACGAGGACGUGUAGCUGGAUGCAUUCUUGUCGUCCAUUAGAAUUCGCGAGCAACGUAAGCCAUGACUGCAUGCCUGUGGAGAUCUCUUGGCGAACAUGUUGAGGUGAGGAGCGUAAGUUCUUGAAACACUGGGGCAGGACCUCUGUAAAUCGCCAGGACGUCACGGCGGUGAUCUCUGUUUGGUGUUGCUAGAAUUUGUUAUCCGAGAACGACGACGGUGCGAGCAAGUGUGGCUUCCCUUUGAGCAGAGGCAUGAAGAGAUUGAACUUGCGUCUCGGUGGAGCUGGACGUGAUCUUGUGAUACAAUCUCAAUGCCGUUAUUUUGUUCCUUCGUUCCUUUGUGCCGAUCCCCGAGGAAGUGGAAUUUUUUAAAAAUGCUUGGCUUCUUUUGAUUCU
Molecule: long non-coding RNA, 809 nt
Organism: Selaginella moellendorffii
Lineage: Eukaryota; Viridiplantae; Streptophyta; Lycopodiopsida; Selaginellales; Selaginellaceae
Exons: 4
Source: RefSeq, a predicted model, not a curated record